RNAcentral lists this ribosomal RNA (446 nucleotides) under uncultured bacterium. RNAcentral describes it as "bacterial SSU rRNA". It matches the Rfam family "Bacterial small subunit ribosomal RNA", at positions 74 to 507 of the family's 1533-position model. The record is from RNAcentral.
AGGUGCUUGCACCUUAUCUUAGCGGCGGACGGGUGAGUAAUGCUUAGGGAAUCUGCCUAUUAGUGGGGGGACGAAACAUUCCGAAAGGAAUGCUAAUACUGCAUACGUCCUACGGGGGAGAAAAAGCAGGGGAUCUUCGGACCUUGCGCUAAUAGAUGAGCCUAAGUCGGAUUAGCUAGUUGGUGGGGUAAAGGCCUACCAAGGCGACGAUCUGUAGCGGGUCUGAGAGGAUGAUCCGCCACACUGGGACUGAGACACGGCCCAGACUCCUACGGGAGGCAGCAGUGGGGAAUAUUGGACAAUGGGGGGAACCCUGAUCCAGCCAUGCCGCGUGUGUGAAGAAGGCCUUAUGGUUGUAAAGCACUUUAAGCGAGGAGGAGGCUACUGAGACUAAUACUCUUGGAUAGUGGACGUUACUCGCAGAAUAAGCACCGGCUAACUCUGUG